GUGCUUGCUUCAGCAGCAUAUAUACUAAAAUUGAAACAAUAUAGAGAAGAUUAGCACGGCCCCUGCACAAGGAUGACUCACAAAUUCACGAAGCGUUCCAUAUUAAG
Molecule: small nuclear RNA, 107 nt
Organism: Otolemur garnettii (small-eared galago)
Lineage: Eukaryota; Metazoa; Chordata; Mammalia; Primates; Galagidae
Source: Ensembl